RNAcentral lists this ribosomal RNA (253 nucleotides) under uncultured bacterium. Its description in RNAcentral is "partial 16S ribosomal RNA". It matches the Rfam family "Bacterial small subunit ribosomal RNA", at positions 524 to 776 of the family's 1533-position model. The record is from RNAcentral.
UACGGAGGGUGCAAGCGUUAUCCGGAUUCACUGGGUUUAAAGGGUGCGUAGGCGGGUUUUUAAGUCAGCGGUGAAAGCUCCGAGCUCAACUCGGAAAUUGCCGUUGAUACUAUUAAUCUUGAAUUUAGUUGAGGUGGGCGGAAUGUGUAGUGUAGCGGUGAAAUGCUUAGAUAUGACAUAGAACACCAAUUGCGCAGGCAGCUUACUACACAGUAAUUGACACUGAGGCACGAAAGCGUGGGGAUCAAACAGG